Molecule: long non-coding RNA, 1573 nt
Organism: Sciurus carolinensis (gray squirrel)
Lineage: Eukaryota; Metazoa; Chordata; Mammalia; Rodentia; Sciuridae
Exons: 3
Source: RefSeq, a predicted model, not a curated record
CUGAUUUUUGCAGCCCGGGUGUUUUCCAACGCCCCUGAGGUCUUGGGCCUAACGACAAACUGCAAUGCGUGAUUUUCCAUCGGAUGCUUUUUUGGAGAAGAAAACGAUGACUUUUAAUGCAUUUUAAAUUUUUUGUUGGAAAGCCGGCUAGCAUCUACCAGGUGAAAGAAACUGAGCAGGUUGCCGGUCCUUUCUAUUCCAAGAGACUAGACUCUCCCAGCUCAUAAGCACAUGGUUUCCUAAGUGUGUUUGCUGUCGCAGAAGUACAGCUUCCCGAGGGACAGGAAAUGUGUCGUUUCACUGAGUAUUCUUGAGUAAAGGAAAAGCACCUACAUUUACUGGAUACUACUAGUCCCUGGAUUUCUGGCAAUUACUAGACAUUGCCUGCCUUCCUCUAGCCUAGGACCUCAAGGUGGAGAUGAGGACCCAGUGGAGACCAUAGAAUAGAGGGCAAGGGAGGAGUUUUCUGGGUAGAGAGGGCUUCUCUUGAAGAGGUCACACCUAAACGGAGACUUCAGGGAUAUCAAGGAGGAAACCAUGUGAAGAAUGGAGAAGUAACCCUGCAGACAGGGGCACCAGCAGCCCUAAUACGGAGGCUUCACCCUGUCCUCAGAUACCUGAGGUCUUUGAGAGCUUUUGCUCUGAGAAGUGCCUAGAAUGAGCCAGGUGGGAACCUACCUCCUCUUUCGUAUGACCUGGAUUGCCAAGCAGCCCCAGUAAUGAAGAAUGCAAAGUCACAUGAACUUCUUUCCUUUAUAAAGUUGCUAUUUCUUAUUAAUAUUGAGAUGCUAAUUCAGUAUAUGAAAGUGUUCAUCUCUCCCAGGUCAACUGCAUCAGGACAAGGCUAAUCAGAAAAAUAGAGAAUGCCAGAGAGAAAACUAGGAACAAAUACUCCAUCACACAUUCGCCAGAAUGGCUGAAUUCUGAGCUACUUCCUAUAUAACGGAAAAGACAACCCAUCAGACUCAGUCUUCCAACUCAAGUGGAUCUAGAAACAAGGUGCUACCUGGGAUCAGAUCUCAGAGUUAACUGGGCAACAGGAAGGGGUUUGUCAGGCAGGGCCAGGAAAAUGUACCCGUGGUUUGGUGAUUUCUCUAAAUUAUCUACUCUAAGAAAAAGGGGCAGCCACUUUUCUUGUCUCUAUCCCAUGGUACUUCCCCUGCCCCAGUGAGAGUGUGAUGCCUCAUGGGGAGGGGACAUGUGGGGGCACUCCUAGGCUUCUCCCACUUCCGACUCCCCCUACAACUAUAUAUAUAUUAUAUUAUAUUACUAUUAUUAUUAUUGUGAGAAGUAUAAUUUUCAGCCCCCACUGGGAUAGUACGAGCAGAAAAGGGGAACUUUAAUGGGUAGAGAGCAUCUGUUUGGGCUAACAAACAAUUUGUGACAAUGGAUAAUGGUGAUGCUUGCAUAACAUUGUGAAUUUACUAAAUGACACUGAGUUAUAUAUUUGAAAUGGUUAAGGAUUAACUUUACGUUAUAUAAAUUUUACAUCUACAUGAAAAUUUAACCAAAAAGAAAUGUCUCAAAUGGUCCUCACUACAUAAGUUUAUUAUUAAAUCUUUACAUAUGGUUC